CCCCGGGGCACAAAGGGUAUGUGGGACCGGGAGUCGACCAUGAGAUGGCCAGCAGGUGGUUGCCUCCUUCAUACAUCCUUCAUUAGGACUGUAUCCUUCUUUGAUAAAGAGAAAAAAAAAAAAAGAAGCGAAAAAAUGUCGAGUUUACAUGUACGUACUGUAAAGAAAAUAAAUACUUUUUAACUAUAAUGUAUCUCUUAGUUUUGCAAUAUUUUCUUGAAUUAACAACAAUAGCAAAUUCAUUGACCAAAAUUUAACAGGAUAUACUAUAUAUAGAGAAUCAUGGAAGGAACACGCAUGCGUGACAACACGCCACCUUGCGGGAUCAUCGGAAAAGUAUUAGUUUGCUUACCUGUUGUGGGUGUCGAUUCAGGCGCUUGUCUCACUCGUGCGCUUUCCUCAACGACUGUCGUGCUCGGCCAGAGGAGCGGGAGAGUGUCCUUGCAAUGAUGGGAUUAUGCUGAGCUGCAGGGACACAGAAGACCCGCGGGCAGUCAGCCAUCCCGCCUCGUCUCUAAGCAGGGCACAAUGAACUGAGCUUCCACUGAGGCUUUGGCACAAUAUUCCAGCUAGCUCCAUUCGCCACAGCCACCAAAACUCUGAACUACUCCAGGAAACCCGAACUUUCAUAAGGACUUGCACGCAAAAAAAU
Portunus trituberculatus (swimming crab) is the source of this 652-nucleotide long non-coding RNA. RefSeq lists it as uncharacterized. The transcript is spliced from 3 exons. The record is from RefSeq and is a predicted model, not a curated record. Lineage: Eukaryota; Metazoa; Arthropoda; Malacostraca; Decapoda; Portunidae.